RNAcentral lists this unclassified non-coding RNA (254 nucleotides) under uncultured Gemmatimonadota bacterium. RNAcentral's name for it is "uncultured Gemmatimonadetes bacterium contains 16S-23S intergenic spacer region". It matches the Rfam family "Bacterial small subunit ribosomal RNA", at positions 524 to 776 of the family's 1533-position model. Lineage: Bacteria; Pseudomonadati; Gemmatimonadota. The record is from RNAcentral.
GACGGAGGGCGCAAGCGUUGUUCGGAAUUACUGGGCGUAAAGCGCGGGCAGGUGGCUCGUUAAGUCGUUUGUGAAAAUCCGGGGCUCAACCCCGCGAAAUGCAUACGAUACUGGCGGGCUAGAGAUCGGUAGAGGCUAGCGGAAUUCCUGGUGUAGCGGUGGAAUGCGUAGAUAUCAGGAAGAACACCCGUGGCGAAGGCGGCUAGCUGGGCCGAGUCUGACACUCAGCCGCGAAAGCGUGGGGAGCAAACAGG